CGGAGGAUCCAAGCGUUAUCCGGAAUUACUGGGCGUAAAGAGUUGCGUAGGCGGUCGUGUAAGUUGGUAGUGAAAGCGUGGGGCUCAACCUCAUAUCCAUUAUCAAAACUGCACUGACUAGAGAAUGAGAGAGGUCGCUGGAAUUUCUUGUGUAGGAGUGAAAUCCGUAGAUAUAAGAAGGAACACCGAUGGCGUAGGCAGGCGACUGGCUCAUUUCUGACGCUCAGGCACGAAAGCGUGGGGAGCGACCGGGAUUAGAUACCCCGUUAGUCCACGCCGUAAACGAUGGAUGCUAGCUGUAAGACGUAUCGACCCGUCUUGUAGCGAAGCUAACGCGUUAAGCAUCCCGCCUGUGGAGUACGAGCGUAAGCUUA
RNAcentral lists this ribosomal RNA (374 nucleotides) under uncultured organism. RNAcentral's name for it is "bacterial SSU rRNA". It matches the Rfam family "Bacterial small subunit ribosomal RNA", at positions 526 to 896 of the family's 1533-position model. The record is from RNAcentral.